GACCUCAUUUGGAGUUGCAUUCAUCCGUUGUGGUUGUUAUGGUUUCCGUUUGAGCUAACCAUCUGUGGUCUGGAAGCUAAAACCGAGUUUCACACGUUCUGCCGUUGUCCCCCAUGAGGUUGCCUUGUGGCAUGCUAUGCUGGGCGUGUGGUCGCUUCCGGUGAUCAAGGCGAUCCGACCGGCUGACCCGGUGUGGUUCCUCUUGACCUUAUGCCUGACGAAAGAAUGUUGGCACGCGCUGUUCGUCAUGCUUCUUAGUUCUCUGGCGCAUUUGGCGCUGCCGCAAUGAGGCGACACAUGAUAAGCUUCUUCCUCUCAUUGAAGGAAGGGUCUAGGCGUUUCCUUGCUAGCUAUUGGGAUUGUCUGAAGCUGAUUAAAAGUCACCCGCAUGCUGAUAUCACUAAGGGGAAGUGCUCCGUUGAUGUUGUUCCACCGUGAUGAGAUUUCAGGUGCCUGCGCCUAGAGCAAGUCCCCUGCGGGCUGGCUAUGCGCCGGAGACAAGCGAUCAGCAGGUGCAGGAAGAGGCCCAUUGAAGGGACGGGCUCAGAUGCUCCAAAGACGACUGACUUGCCCGUAGACCUCAUUUGGAGUUGCCAUUCAUCGUUUGUGGUUGUUAUGGUUUCCCUUUUAGAUUAUUUUCGGGGCACAUGAUACACUCUCAAUCACACGGCAGAGUUGUCGUAUUUUCCGUUCAAAUCACUAUCUUUUGAGAGUGUCAAAUCACACGUCAGUUUUGUCAGUAUUUCCUUAGAGCCUGUUUGGUAGCACUCAUUUCAAGAAAACAGCGUCGUUCAUUAUUUCAAGAUACUGUGGACCUUACUAAUGGUUAGGGUUGAGUUGAGCUCUCUAGACAAUCUUCUGGCCUGUUUAGAAAAAGGAAAAGAAAGAUGUGCUUUUAAAUCCCUAAAACUCGGUAAAUCAGAUCCUUAUAAAUGGUUUUACUGAUGAUGUGGCAGAUUUGAGGUGGAUUUUUUGCUGAUGAUUGGGAUUUGUUGAACCACUUUUCACCAGCAACGUGACAACAACCAUCAAAAGGAUAUAUAUUCUGUCCAGAAUACCAUCAACAUUUUGUAUGCGCCGAAUGUCGCCACAUCGAGCGUUGUCAAUUGGUCAUAGCUUCAGCUCUCAAUUGGCUUCACCAAGCUCUGUUUUCAACCAAGGGAACCGCCGACCCGCGCUUGCCCUGUAGCCAUAGUCGUGGCCCAUCUUUCCCGAGUCCCUGUCAAGCUCCACCACCGCCAUCGAGCCUGAUCCCUACUAACGUUCGUGCACUGGAUCGGCCCAAUAAAGACAUGUGGACACACACAGCGUGGGCCGUCCACCGCCGGUCCGCCAGGCCUGCAGUACGGGCCGGUCAACUACAGCGAAGGGCCGCGGCUCGCCCAGCACCAGUCGCUGAGAGAUCGAGGCGGCGGACCGGAAACUCUACCAUCGAAGCGGCGCAGCACCGGUGGCGGCGGCGGCGGCGGAGGGCACCGGCCCACGGCGCAGUCGCUGAACGACGACGCCCUCCGCUCCAUCCUUCUCCCGCCUGGGCGACCGACCACUUCGACCUCGCCCACUACUCCACCGUCUGCAAGCCAUGGUUCGACGCGCCACCCGUGUCUCCUUCAGCUCAUUUCCUGGUGCUCGAGCAGUAGCCUGUUCGUUUGUGUGCUGUCUCCUUUUUUCUGUAGCAGAGAUUACUUCUCGACUCGUGAGGGGAUUAUUAAUUUAUUUAUCGCACCCAUUUUAUUAGGAAAUAUAGAUUUGAUAUCUAAAUCAUGGAUGCACACAUCAUUCCAUGACUGAAUUACCAAUUGAUGUAUUGCUAACUCUUGUGCCAUUCUUUGUAUUUCAGUUUGGUACUGUUUCUGUUCGUGCAUUUUCCUCGCUAUCUGGCCAAUACAGUUGGAUGGGCAUUUUCCUAAUGAAAAUUCUAAUUGCCAAGUAAUUUGAUUUGUAGUGUUGAUUUCCUGUUGCGUUUACUGUUAUAGUCCCCAUCAAGAAAAGAAGUGUGUUUAGUGUUAUCAGUGAAAAGAGUUCUAAUUUGACAACUCAUCUUACUUCUCAUAUUGUAUCAUUAUCAAUUGUCUUCUUUUUUUGACCAAUAAGUGCUUCAGUAUCCAUAUUUUAUUUUUGUUAUUUCUUGUUUCAGGGCCACCUUGUGCCUUAUGAAGAGUGGUUCAGUCUUAAUUGGCAUGGAAAAUAAUUAAGAAAUCUGGGAUUCUGUCCUUCCCCUGGUCUACCAACAUGGAUUUGGCCCCUCCAUGCACAGAUGCACCUCAUUAUCCUUUGGAAGAUCUGGGCGGCCGCGGCAUGCUAUGCUAACCUUUUCCGUGAUGACAUUGUUACUACCUCAAACACCACUGUUUGUAUCAUUCAAGACCUAACCCUCUGGUUUGUUCGGUCCAAGGAACCAAACCACCAGAUAGCCGCCGGCUUGUGGCGAGCCUAUCUAACCUCCCUUGUACGAAGUUCUGCUUUGUCAUAAUUGUGGUUUCCUUGUACUAACAUUUUUCUUAAAACUAUGAUUCCCUUAGUCCAAACUUGUAGAGAACUGAGCAUGAGUGCCACCCUGUCUCUGCCUCGGUUCCUUCCAGAAGAAAUCGGCUGAAACUCCAAAAAGUUGUUAGACAACUGAAGAAUAGAAAUUAUUUCUUUCUUUCUCUUGGAGACUCGUUCAAUCAUGCGCGAUGCAUGACUGCAUGAGGGCAUUUUCAGUUUACAGGGCUUGUGCUCCUUAAUAUCAUCUUACAGAUUUAUAUUUUUGUCAUAAAAUGAAUUCAGUUUCCACGGUCUCUCCUAUUUCCAUGUUUGCUGUUAGCUGAAUAGCCAUCUACUUGCUGUAAUUGGUCACAAAUAAGAGUGCAAAGAAGGUUAGAUUAGAAGGAUGGUAUGCUAUCCAGGAUCUGCAAUAACAGUGUUGUUUAUAUCAGUGGCCAGUGGGACUAUUAUCUAUGCUUUGUGUUAUUUUGGAGGCUUGCUCCCAGAUCUGUUCUUCAUGGGGUAUCCUUGGUCAUGACAGCAUUGUACAAGAGAUUUAUUGUUUUAUUUGGUGCACCGAUAUUAUGAUGUAGAGUUGUGAGAUUGGAUUUGAAAACAUCAACAAAAGAACUUCGGAUGUUCCCAAUAAAGCAUCUUCUAUUGAUUAAGAGUUUUCGUUUUGUCGGCCAUAUCAGAAGCAUGAAGAAACACUGAUGCAGAAGCAGCGCCAUGGCUUCCUCCUUCCUCCCUUGGCAGACGGCGAGGUAGAGCUCGGAGCUCAUCCUGCCAUCGUCGUCGCUCACCGGCCGCUUCUUCCCGGCGUCCGAUCCAGAGCUGGAUGGAGUGAUGACGACUGUCCAUCGAAUACGAGAUCACUUAAUCCGGCCGACUGACUGUACUUUGCUUCAAAGGACAAACGAGAAUACGAGAUCACUUGCAGGCUGUAAAUAUAUAGGCAGGAGGCCGGGUUUUGCCCUGAUUGCAUGAGUUACCCCGGCCAAGUGAUCUAGUGAAGGGCAACGGGCAACGUGGCUUUGUUCUUACGUGCAUAUGUGCGUACAUCGCGGGGCAGCGACUAGUAGUCUGCGGUCUCUCUCUGAUCAGUUAUCAGUUUGCUACGUGAGCGAAAGUCAAGUCCGUGGUUUAUUAAACUGAGAAUUUUCAAAUACGAUUGCGACGGCAAAAGAAUUUGACA
Long non-coding RNA from Brachypodium distachyon (stiff brome), 3661 nucleotides. RefSeq lists it as uncharacterized. The transcript is spliced from 7 exons. The record is from RefSeq and is a predicted model, not a curated record. NCBI's taxonomy places the organism in Eukaryota, Viridiplantae, Streptophyta, Magnoliopsida, Poales, Poaceae.